This 253-nucleotide ribosomal RNA is filed under the name uncultured bacterium. RNAcentral's name for it is "partial 16S ribosomal RNA". It matches the Rfam family "Bacterial small subunit ribosomal RNA", at positions 524 to 776 of the family's 1533-position model. RNAcentral also lists the same sequence under 1 other name. The record is from RNAcentral.
UACGGAGGGUGCAAGCGUUAAUCGGAAUUACUGGGCGUAAAGCGCGCGUAGGUGGUUUGGUAAGCGAGAUGUGAAAGCCCCGGGCUUAACCUGGGAACGGCAUUUCGAACUGUCAGACUAGAGUGUGGUAGAGGGUAGUGGAAUUUCCUGUGUAGCGGUGAAAUGCGUAGAUAUAGGAAGGAACACCAGUGGCGAAGGCGGCUACCUGGACCAACACUGACACUGAGGUGCGAAAGCGUGGGGAGCAAACAGG